This 322-nucleotide ribosomal RNA is filed under the name uncultured Sandona. RNAcentral describes it as "SSU rRNA". The stretch from base 117 to 322 matches the Rfam family "Eukaryotic small subunit ribosomal RNA", at positions 749 to 955 of the family's 1831-position model. Lineage: Eukaryota; Cercozoa; Glissomonadida. The record is from RNAcentral.
GAUUUCUGAACUAGUGUUUCUGGCCGGCCACGGUUUCGUGUGUUAGUGCUAGAACUACUGUUCAUCCUUUUACUCUAUAUUUACUGAUCUUAACUGAUUGGUAGAUAUAGGUAAAUCUUUUACUUUGAACAAAUUAGAGUGUUUCAAGCAGGCUAUAUGCUAUGAAUACAUUAGCAUGGAAUAAUAAUUUAGGACUUCGGUUCUAUUUUGUUGGUUUCUAUUACUGAAGUAAUGAUUGAUAGGGACAGUUGGGGGUGCUAGUAUUCAGUGCGAAGAGGUGAAAUUCUUGGAUCCACUGAAGACUAACUUAAGCGAAAGCAUU